UACGUAGGGGGCUAGCGUUGUCCGGAAUCAUUGGGCGUAAAGCGCGUGUAGGCGGCCCUGUAAGUCCGUUGUGAAAGUCAAAGGCUCAACCUUUGAAAGCCGAUGGAUACUGCAGGGCUAGAGUCCGGAAGAGGCGAGUGGAAUUCCUGGUGUAGCGGUGGAAUGCGCAGAUAUCAGGAGGAACACCGGUGGCGAAGGCGGAUCUCUGGGCCGUAACUGACGCUGAGGAGCGAAAGCAUGGGGAGCGAACAGG
Molecule: ribosomal RNA, 253 nt
Filed under: uncultured bacterium
Lineage: Bacteria
Description: partial 16S ribosomal RNA
Rfam family: Bacterial small subunit ribosomal RNA
Source: RNAcentral